GGAAAAAAAAAAAGAGUCAAUAACAAGAAGUAACCUCUUAAUGUACCAAAAUUUUCAAUGUAAAGCAAAAGGUGGUGGGGGGAAGAAAAAAGGCAGUGUGUUCUAUGGCUAGAGAUUGUGAAGGUUGGAAUUUCUAUUUUGAAGUUAGACUUGAAGAAGAAAAGAAUGAUUGAAUGCAUGCCAUGGGAAUCACCAUCUUAACAAAAAGAAGAUUGCAUGUGGCAGAAAGUGUAAUUCUUCAUGGGAAAUGUAAAAAUCUUUUGCAUUUUCAUUUUCUUCUAUAUUUCCACAUGUCAGCAGAAACAUUCUGUACAAUUUUAUGUUCUUUGUAAUAUCUUUGUGCAGUUUUAUUUUAGUGCAAGAAUUUCCAUCAAUUCAUGGACAAUGAUCAUACUACUAAAACUAUUAUAUUAAUCUUGGACUUGAGUAGAGAAAUCCAUGAUCCUUAGACCUUGAGACAGAGAAUUGAGUGCCAAGCCAUCUAUGUACAAGCAAGAUUGUGGUGGUAAUAAUAACAAACACAACUAGACUGUACAGUCUAUGAGAAUGUGCAAGAGUGAAGAUGCAAAAUGCCAUCAUCCAUAUUAAAAAGACAAAAGAAGGAAGCCCAUUGGAAAAUAAUUUGUAGUUCAAAACAAGGGAAAUUGAUUAAAUGAAAUCCUUCUAAUUAAGAUCGGCUGGAUUUCUCUUCAAAUGGUGGAGAUUGAGGGAAGAAGUUCCAAUACUGGGAAAAAGAUCAACAAAAGGAUCUAAAGAACUAAUGUUGUUCCAGUGCAUCAUUUUCUGACACUUUAGUUCAUGUCCAGAGAAUAUGUUUGUGCCUUUUGAUGGUAUGAAAAGUCAAAUUAGGAGCAAUAUGAAUAAGAAGUUUCAGAUCCUAUAGAUUAUAUGAUUGGUGAGGCAGGGGAGUAGAGGAAGUGAGAAAGUGACAAUAUGAACCAAGGGGCGGAUGUACUGACGGAUUCACAGCAAUAAUCAGAUAAAAUAAUAUUUUUCACAUGAGACAUUUGCAAGAAUAUGUAUCCAGUAGCCAUUAGCUAAUACCU
Molecule: unclassified non-coding RNA, 1046 nt
Filed under: Hevea brasiliensis (rubber tree)
Lineage: Eukaryota; Viridiplantae; Streptophyta; Magnoliopsida; Malpighiales; Euphorbiaceae
Source: RNAcentral